This is a non-coding RNA of Schizosaccharomyces pombe (fission yeast), 219 nucleotides long. The record is from the annotation of a GenBank genome assembly. Lineage: Eukaryota; Fungi; Ascomycota; Schizosaccharomycetes; Schizosaccharomycetales; Schizosaccharomycetaceae.
UGUAAUUUUGAGAAUUACGAACGGAAAAUAAAUAACGUAUUUCCAAGGUAAGUCACCAAUGCGACGCUAUUCAACGUUGUAGGUCAAAGAAACGCGAAAUGCAAACAAACAAAAAACACCGUGUAGCAAGAAUUGUGUUGUACGAUUGAAACUAAAGAUCUUCUUUUUCAAAUCUAUCGAUAAAAGAAUGAUGCGUCUUUAACGAAGGAAAGGCGUCCU